GACAGGGGAUGCAAGCGUUAUCCGGAAUGAUUGGGCGUAAAGCGUCUGUAGGUGGCUGAUUAAGUCUGCCGUCAAAUCCCAGAGCUCAACCCCGGCCAGGCGGUGGAUACUACUAAGCUUGAGUACGGCAGGGGCAGAGGGAAUUUCCGGUGGAGCGGUGAAAUGCGCAGAUAUCGGAAAGAACACCAAGGGCGAAGGCUCUCUGCUGGGCCGAAGCUGACCCUGAGAGACGAGAGGUAGGGGAGCAAAUGGG
RNAcentral lists this ribosomal RNA (253 nucleotides) under uncultured bacterium. Its description in RNAcentral is "partial 16S ribosomal RNA". It matches the Rfam family "Bacterial small subunit ribosomal RNA", at positions 524 to 776 of the family's 1533-position model. The record is from RNAcentral.